This 506-nucleotide ribosomal RNA is filed under the name Lacticaseibacillus rhamnosus. RNAcentral describes it as "bacterial SSU rRNA". It matches the Rfam family "Bacterial small subunit ribosomal RNA", at positions 1029 to 1533 of the family's 1533-position model. Lineage: Bacteria; Bacillati; Bacillota; Bacilli; Lactobacillales; Lactobacillaceae. The record is from RNAcentral.
AAAUGACAGGUGGUGCAUGGUUGUCGUCAGCUCGUGUCGUGAGAUGUUGGGUUAAGUCCCGCAACGAGCGCAACCCUUAUGACUAGUUGCCAGCAUUUAGUUGGGCACUCUAGUAAGACUGCCGGUGACAAACCGGAGGAAGGUGGGGAUGACGUCAAAUCAUCAUGCCCCUUAUGACCUGGGCUACACACGUGCUACAAUGGAUGGUACAACGAGUUGCGAGACCGCGAGGUCAAGCUAAUCUCUUAAAGCCAUUCUCAGUUCGGACUGUAGGCUGCAACUCGCCUACACGAAGUCGGAAUCGCUAGUAAUCGCGGAUCAGCACGCCGCGGUGAAUACGUUCCCGGGCCUUGUACACACCGCCCGUCACACCAUGAGAGUUUGUAACACCCGAAGCCGGUGGCGUAACCCUUUUAGGGAGCGAGCCGUCUAAGGUGGGACAAAUGAUUAGGGUGAAGUCGUAACAAGGUAGCCGUAGGAGAACCUGCGGCUGGAUCACCUCCUUU